AUAGACCCGAAACCCGGUGAUCUAGCCAUGGGCAGGUUGAAGGUUGGGUAACACUAACUGGAGGACCGAACCGACUAAUGUUGAAAAAUUAGCGGAUGACCUGUGGCUGGGGGUGAAAGGCCAAUCAAACCGGGAGAUAGCUGGUUCUCCCCGAAAGCUAUUUAGGUAGCGCCUCGUGAAUUCAUCUCCGGGGGUAGAGCACUGUUUCGGCUAGGGGGCCAUCCCGGCUUACCAACCCGAUGCAAACUGCGAAUACCGGAGAAUGUUAUCACGGGAGACACACGGCGGGUGCUAACGUCCGUCGUGAAGAGGGAAACAACCCAGACCGCCAGCUAAGGUCCCAAAGUCAUGGUUAAGUGGGAAACGAUGUGGGAAGGCCCAGACAGCCAGGAUGUUGGCUUAGAAGCAGCCAUCAUUUAAAGAAAGCGUAAUAGCUCACUGGUCGAGUCGGCCUGCGCGGAAGAUGUAACGGGGCUAAACCAUGCACCGAAGCUGCGGCAGCGAACGUAUCACCCAAGACAACUUUGCGGAGUUGACGAUUGACGGAGCGAAGCGACGUCAAAGCGUUCAUUAAAGUCGAGUUGGCUUAGGGAUACGUUCGUUGGGUAGGGGAGCGUUCUGUAAGCCUGUGAAGGUGGCCUGUGAGGGUUGCUGGAGGUAUCAGAAGUGCGAAUGCUGACAUAAGUAACGAUAAAGCGGGUGAAAAGCCCGCUCGCCGGAAGACCAAGGGUUCCUGUCCAACGUUAAUCGGGGCAGGGUGAGUCGACCCCUAAGGCGAGGCCGAAAGGCGUAGUCGAUGGGAAACGGGUUAAUAUUCCCGUACUUGGUGUUACUGCGAAGGGGGGACGGAGAAGGCUAUGUUGGCCGGGCGACGGUUGUCCCGGUUUAAGCGUGUAGGUGUGUGUUCCAGGUAAAUCCGGUUCACUUUAACACUGAGGCGUGACGACGAGGCACUACGGUGCUGAAGCAACAAAUGCCCUGCUUCCAGGAAAAGCCUCUAAGCAUCAGGUAACAUCAAAUCGUACCCCAAACCGACACAGGUGGUCAGGUAGAGAAUACCAAGGCGCUUGAGAGAACUCGGGUGAAGGAACUAGGCAAAAUGGUGCCGUAACUUCGGGAGAAGGCACGCUGAUAUGUAGGUGAAGCGGUUUACCCGUGGAGCUGAAAUCAGUCGAAGAUACCAGCUGGCUGCAACUGUUUAUUAAAAACACAGCACUGUGCAAACACGAAAGUGGACGUAUACGGUGUGACGCCUGCCCGGUGCCGGAAGGUUAAUUGAUGGGGUCAGCGCAAGCGAAGCUCCUGAUCGAAGCCCCGGUAAACGGCGGCCGUAACUAUAACGGUCCUAAGGUAGCGAAAUUCCUUGUCGGGUAAGUUCCGACCUGCACGAAUGGCGUAAUGAUGGCCAGGCUGUCUCCACCCGAGACUCAGUGAAAUUGAACUCGCUGUGAAGAUGCAGUGUACCCGCGGCAAGACGGAAAGACCCCGUGAACCUUUACUAUAGCUUGACACUGAACAUUGAGCCUUGAUGUGUAGGAUAGGUGGGAGGCUUUGAAGCGUGGACGCCAGUCUGCGUGGAGCCGACCUUGAAAUACCACCCUUUAAUGUUUGAUGUUCUAACGUGGACCCGUAAUCCGGGUUGCGGACAGUGUCUGGUGGGUAGUUUGACUGGGGCGGUCUCCUCCUAAAGAGUAACGGAGGAGCACGAAGGUUGGCUAAUCCUGGUCGGACAUCAGGAGGUUAGUGCAAUGGCAUAAGCCAGCUUGACUGCGAGCGUGACGGCGCGAGCAGGUGCGAAAGCAGGUCAUAGUGAUCCGGUGGUUCUGAAUGGAAGGGCCAUCGCUCAACGGAUAAAAGGUACUCCGGGGAUAACAGGCUGAUACCGCCCAAGAGUUCAUAUCGACGGCGGUGUUUGGCACCUCGAUGUCGGCUCAUCACAUCCUGGGGCUGAAGUAGGUCCCAAGGGUAUGGCUGUUCGCCAUUUAAAGUGGUACGCGAGCUGGGUUUAGAACGUCGUGAGACAGUUCGGUCCCUAUCUGCCGUGGGCGCUGGAGAACUGAGGGGGGCUGCUCCUAGUACGAGAGGACCGGAGUGGACGCAUCACUGGUGUUCGGGUUGUCAUGCCAAUGGCACUGCCCGGUAGCUAAAUGCGGAAGAGAUAAGUGCUGAAAGCAUCUAAGCACGAAACUUGCCCCGAGAUGAGUUCUCCCUGAGACUUUAGGUCUCCUGAAGGAACGUUGAAGACGACGACGUUGAUAGGCCGGGUGUGUAAGCGCAGCGAUGCGUUGAGCUAACCGGUACUAAUGAACCGUGAGGCUUAACCUUACA
Molecule: ribosomal RNA, 2328 nt
Filed under: Salmonella enterica subsp. enterica serovar Muenchen
Lineage: Bacteria; Pseudomonadati; Pseudomonadota; Gammaproteobacteria; Enterobacterales; Enterobacteriaceae
Description: partial 23S ribosomal RNA
Rfam family: Bacterial large subunit ribosomal RNA
Source: RNAcentral